GCGGAAGGAUCAUUAAUAAACCAAGCGGGUCCUCUCGAAAUGAAUGGAUGUCUGAACCCUUGAAUACAAAACUUCGUUGCUUUGGCGGGCCGCCUUCGGGCGUCGGCCUCGGCUGACAGCGCCUGCCAGGGGACCAAAACUCUUAGUUCAGUGAUGUCUGAGUACUAUAUAAUAGUUAAAACUUUCAACAACGGAUCUCUUGGUUCUGGCAUCGAUGAAGAACGCAGCGAAAUGCGAUAAGUAAUGUGAAUUGCAGAAUUCAGUGAAUCAUCGAAUCUUUGAACGCACAUUGCGCCCCUUGGUAUUCCGAGGGGCAUGCCUGUUCGAGCGUCAUAUAAACACAUCCUGUAAAGGGGUCUUGGGGCUCGCCUUCUAGCGGCUCUUAAAAUCAGUGGCGGCGCCAUCUGGCUCUAAGCGUAGUAAUUAUCCUCGCUAUAGGGUUCCGGUGGAUGCUUGCCAGCAACCCCCCAUUUUCUACGUUUGACCUCGGAUCAGGUAGGGAUACCCGCUGAACUUAAGCAUAUCAU
Molecule: ribosomal RNA, 527 nt
Rfam family: 5.8S ribosomal RNA (bases 180-333)